This 465-nucleotide ribosomal RNA is filed under the name Vreelandella stevensii. RNAcentral describes it as "partial 16S ribosomal RNA". It matches the Rfam family "Bacterial small subunit ribosomal RNA", at positions 338 to 795 of the family's 1533-position model. Lineage: Bacteria; Pseudomonadati; Pseudomonadota; Gammaproteobacteria; Oceanospirillales; Halomonadaceae. The record is from RNAcentral.
CCUACGGGGGGCUGCAGUGGGGAAUAUUGGACAAUGGGGGGAACCCUGAUCCAGCCAUGCCGCGUGUGUGAAGAAGGCCCUCGGGUUGUAAAGCACUUUCAGUGAGGAAGAACGCCUGGUGGUUAAUACCCAUCAGGAAAGACAUCACUCACAGAAGAAGCACCGGCUAACUCCGUGCCAGCAGCCGCGGUAAUACGGAGGGUGCGAGCGUUAAUCGGAAUUACUGGGCGUAAAGCGCGCGUAGGUGGCUUGAUAAGCCGGUUGUGAAAGCCCCGGGCUCAACCUGGGAACGGCAUCCGGAACUGUCAAGCUAGAGUGCAGGAGAGGAAGGUAGAAUUCCCGGUGUAGCGGUGAAAUGCGUAGAGAUCGGGAGGAAUACCAGUGGCGAAGGCGGCCUUCUGGGCUGACACUGACACUGAGGUGCGAAAGCGUGGGGAGCAAACAGGAUUAGAUACCCCGGUAGUC